UUUUGUAUACAUUGGGGGGUCGUGAAGACUCUAUCAGUUAGUAUUUGUUCUCGGAAGGGCUAUGAUUAAUGUUGAAGAAUCAGACAUAGUACGCUAAGGUUGUAUGUCUAAAGGGAAACAGCCCAGAACAAGUGUUAAUAAGGUUCCAAAAUUAUUAUUAAGUGAAACAAAGGUAGUUUAUAUCUUAAACGUCCAGGAAAUAGGCUUAGAAGCGGCCAUUUUUUAAAGACCUCGUAACAGAGCACUGGUUUUAUUCUAAUUUAUUAUAUAAAUUUAGAUCGAUAUAAGCACCGACGAUUCCACGGAUCUAAAUAAUAUACCGAAACCUUGUCCAUGUCUAACUAUAUAUACAUAACAGUAGAAGAAUGUGCAAAUAAUGUUUGUAAGUUAUAUAUAGUAUAAUGGGGUAGCGGAACAUUGGGCAAACCAUACCUUUUUUUUAUAAAAAAAGUAUUAGGUACCCCAAGUGAGAAUGCUGACAUGAGUAACGAUAAAGGGAAAAAUCCCUCGCCUAAAGCUUAUGGAAUUUAGUUAAAGUAACGGCCUCUAAGUUUAUAAAUAAAAACUUAUAUACACUAGCUAUAGAGUAUUUAAGUUAACCUAAAGGAUUAAACGAUGAGCAAAGCUAUAAAGGUACAAAUAAACAACAUUUAUAGACAGCUAAAUAAAUAAAAAGUAAUAACUGUGUUAAAGUGAUAAAUGUUCUGGAAAAUAGUAUCUUACUAUAAAAUUAUUUAUAUAAGUAGUUUUUUUUAUCUUUAGCUGUAAAGAAAAACUAAAGAAAAUAUAGAUUUUAAGUAUACCGUACCUAAAAACUACCACAAGUAAGCAAGUAGAG
RNAcentral lists this ribosomal RNA (838 nucleotides) under Gallowayella fulva. RNAcentral's name for it is "Xanthomendoza fulva partial 23S ribosomal RNA". The stretch from base 1 to 480 matches the Rfam family "Bacterial large subunit ribosomal RNA", at positions 908 to 1301 of the family's 2925-position model. The record is from RNAcentral. Lineage: Eukaryota; Fungi; Ascomycota; Lecanoromycetes; Teloschistales; Teloschistaceae.